Long non-coding RNA from Panicum virgatum (switchgrass), 1048 nucleotides. RefSeq lists it as uncharacterized. The transcript has 2 exons. NCBI's taxonomy places the organism in Eukaryota, Viridiplantae, Streptophyta, Magnoliopsida, Poales, Poaceae. The record is from RefSeq and is a predicted model, not a curated record.
GUGGUGGAGACGUCGCUGCUGUUUUUCUUCCCAGACAUACUAAAUAUUGCCCACUGCUCAUUCAAGGAACACCACUACCAUGUGAUUGGUGAUCCACUGCCUAGGUAGAAGGGGGGUAUUGCAAUGGCUGAUGCUACCAUUGCCUAUCAAAAUUGCCAUUUAUGGUAUUUCUUUCCCAUACGACCUUUGCUAUCCGAUCCUCACCUUUAGUGGCACUUACCUGGUGCUUAUAAGAAAUUCUUUUAGCCCAAUCACGUCUCAGAUCUAAUUUUGUACCAUCAACCAAGUCGGCUAGGAGUUAAGUGGCUGAGGCUCCUUUAGUUAUGAAAAUAAUUAGCUUAAAGGUUCAGCUCAAAAGUAACUGUACAAAAGAAAAGAAUCACACACACAAUCUGACAGGGCAUGGCAUGCACACCCCCUCUUGUGUGUGCAUGAGGCCUCACUCGUUGAUGACUGACAACUACUAUCAGAACUCACAUGCCAGGUAGCCUAUCGAUUAGUGCCUUUUUUUCUACUCACCUCUGUGGUUUAUUUUUUUAAAACUCCAUUUGGUUAUUAAAAACUAUAUUACAUUUGUGCUCUUUUCAUCAAAGAUAUGUUCAUAUACUGACCAAUUCCUGUGAUUUUAUUAUGAAAUACUAUACUUGCAAAAAUGGACGGAUCACUGUUUUUUAUUUUUUUAAAAAAAAUAAAAUGAUAUAGAUUUUAGCUCUUCUCUUGCACAAAGUAAGAGUUGUUUUCUUGUUGGUUGCCUUCUGUUCAUCAGUGGUGUGGUGUUAUAAGUGGCCCCAACUCACCCAAUUUUGGAAUGCUUAAAAGAAUGUUAGAACAGACGCCAGAUAUCUUUUAUGGGAGGACCGCUCCUUUGGGCAAUAUCACUGGCAAGAUAUGAGUGUAUGCGAGAAAUGUUGGUUCAAGAUCCCUUUUUUUAAUAUCAUUUCUCAAUUUAUAUAUUUUCUGUGUAAUACUUUAUAUUUGAUGAUUUGCUCAUGUCAGAGUCCCGUAUCAUUCUCACAUGUCCAUUUUAAUUAAUGGUUCAAUAUUUAUC